CCUACUGGCGGCAGCAGUGGGGAAUAUUGGACAAUGGGCGAAAGCCUGAUCCAGCCAUGCCGCGUGUGUGAAGAAGGCCUUCGGGUUGUAAAGCACUUUCAGUGGGGAAGAAAGCCUUGGGGCUAAUACCCUCGAGGAAGGACAUCACCCACAGAAGAAGCACCGGCUAACUCCGUGCCAGCAGCCGCGGUAAUACGGAGGGUGCGAGCGUUAAUCGGAAUUACUGGGCGUAAAGCGCGCGUAGGCGGUCUGAUAAGCCGGUUGUGAAAGCCCCGGGCUCAACCUGGGAACGGCAUCCGGAACUGUCAGGCUAGAGUGCAGGAGAGGAAGGUAGAAUUCCCGGUGGAGCGGUGAAAUGCGUAGAGAUCGGGAGGAAUACCAGUGGCGAAGGCGGCCUUCUGGACUGACACUGACGCUGAGGUGCGAAAGCGUGGGUAGCAAACAGGAUUAGAUACCCUAGUAGUC
RNAcentral lists this ribosomal RNA (465 nucleotides) under Vreelandella stevensii. Its description in RNAcentral is "partial 16S ribosomal RNA". It matches the Rfam family "Bacterial small subunit ribosomal RNA", at positions 338 to 795 of the family's 1533-position model. The record is from RNAcentral. Lineage: Bacteria; Pseudomonadati; Pseudomonadota; Gammaproteobacteria; Oceanospirillales; Halomonadaceae.